Long non-coding RNA from Homo sapiens (human), 1610 nucleotides. Ensembl annotates it as BDNF antisense RNA. Its record names the gene BDNF-AS. NCBI's taxonomy places the organism in Eukaryota, Metazoa, Chordata, Mammalia, Primates, Hominidae. The record is from Ensembl.
AUCGCGAGAUCAGGAAGGUGGCCGAGUGUGUCGCCGCGGCCAUCAGGCACUUCUCCUUCCUGCCCUUGUAUGAAGAAGGAUGUGUUUGCUUCCCCUUGUGCCAUGAUUGUAAAUUUCCUGAGGCCUCCUCAGCCCUGCAGAACUGGGGUUAUAGCCAUGUGACUGAUCUUCGUCCAAGAAUAUGUAAAGAAAAAGUGUUGAGUUGGCUUUUAGGGCUAGAGCAAUGUAUCUUAGGCUCACUUAAGGAAGCUGUAGAGAUGAGCCCAAGGAGGGAAACCAGAAGAGCCCCCCAGGCUCACCAGUUGUUUGUUGGCUCCCUACAAACAUGUCAUUCAAGUGGCUAAUCUUACAACAGCACAAAUUCAUCUAACCAGAAAGAGAAGAGGAGGCUCCAAAGGCACUUGACUACUGAGCAUCACCCUGGACGUGUACAAGUCUGCGUCCUUAUUGUUUUCUUCAUUGGGCCGAACUUUCUGGUCCUCAUCCAACAGCUCUUCUAUCACGUGUUCGAAAGUGUCAGCCAAUGAUGUCAAGCCUCUUGAACCUGCCUUGGGCCCAUUCACGCUCUCCAGAGUCCCAUGGGUCCGCACACCUGGAGAUACUCUAUUAUAGCAAAGAAGAAAGAUAAUUUCAUUGAGCCAUCCUGUUUUACAGUUUCAGUGACCCACUCUGUAAUAAAGAACUUGGAAAGGGAGGUUCCAAGAUGGCCAAAUAUGAACAGCUCCAGUCUACAGCCCCCAGCGUGAGUGAUGCAGAAGACGGGUGAUUUCUGCAUUUCCAACUGAGGAAAUUCUGCAAGUGGCAACGUGGGUCCAUUCCGUGUGUGUCACUAGAGCUGGCGCAAGCCCAUGGCCAUGGUGAGGCAGCGUUUCCACUGGAACUAAUCUGAUACCUGCACCAGCUCUUGCAACUGUGCAGUGUUCCCACUGCAAACUACGGAUGGGGUAAAAGACUGCUCACCUCCUAUUUCUCAUCUAAUCUCACACACUCUGUUUGAUGAGGCUAUGGAGAAACAGGUCUUCUCAUACACUAAAGGUGGGAGUACAAACAAUUCAAGCCCUGUGCAGGACAAUUAGGCAAUACCUAUCAAAAUUAUACAUGAUUUUUCCUGCUGACCCAGCAAUUCCACUUCUGGGAAUAAUUGACAGAUAUAGGUGCAUAUGUACAAAAUGAUGGAAAGCUCUCUGGUAUAUAUUAGUAAGUGAUAAAACAAGGUGUAAAAUAGUGUAUAUAUGGCUACUACCUUUUGUUUUAAAAAUGGGGGAAAAUGGUGGAGCUUGCGGUGAGCCGAGAUCGUGCCACUGCACUCCAGCCUGGGCGACAGAGCGAGACUCCGUCUCAAAAAAAAAACAGGGUGGGGUGGGGGGGAAAUAAUAGUACAUACUCAUAUUUACCUGUAUCUAUAUAAAACACACUAUCAAGGAUUCACAAGAAACUAAUACAAAUGAUCACCUUAUAGAUGGUAUGUAUUGGGGGAUACUGAGGUGAGCAGGGUAUAAGUGGGGCAAGACUUUUCAGUGUAAACUUCUUUUAAAUUUUAUUUUGAUUUUUGAAUAAUGUAAAUUAACUGUCAAAUAAUUAAAUUAAAAAUAACCAAUUUAUUAACAAAA